AGCAAUAUGACUGCUUGCAGGAAAAAUUGCUUAUCUAUUUGACGGAUAAACAAACAUGAGCAAGUAGGGUGGUAGCCCGGAUUGCGAAUGCUUGUUUCGAUUUCGAAAGUUCGAAGAACGGAGAAAUCGU
RNAcentral lists this small RNA (130 nucleotides) under bovine gut metagenome. Its description in RNAcentral is "Clostridiales-1 RNA". It matches the Rfam family "Clostridiales-1 RNA", at positions 24 to 157 of the family's 166-position model. The record is from RNAcentral.